RNAcentral lists this ribosomal RNA (253 nucleotides) under uncultured bacterium. Its description in RNAcentral is "partial 16S ribosomal RNA". It matches the Rfam family "Bacterial small subunit ribosomal RNA", at positions 524 to 776 of the family's 1533-position model. The record is from RNAcentral.
UACGUAGGUGGCAAGCGUUAUCCGGAAUUAUUGGGCGUAAAGCGCGCGCAGGCGGUUUCUUAAGUCUGAUGUGAAGGCCCACGGCUCAACCGUGGAGGGUCAUUGGAAACUGGGGAACUUGAGUGCAGAAGAGAAAAGCGGAAUUCCACGUGUAGCGGUGAAAUGCGUAGAGAUGUGGAGGAACACCAGUGGCGAAGGCGGCUUUUUGGUCUGUAACUGACGCUGAGGCGCGAAAGCGUGGGGAGCAAACAGG